Non-coding RNA from Cyanistes caeruleus (blue tit), 1087 nucleotides. NCBI's taxonomy places the organism in Eukaryota, Metazoa, Chordata, Aves, Passeriformes, Paridae. The record is from RefSeq and is a predicted model, not a curated record.
CUGGGCUGACAGAAACCCUGCCUCCAUCUCACUGCUGUCCCUUGAACAGCACCCAUUGCCAGGCUCCCCUAUAAAGCAGGCAGCAGGUGCUGUGAUCAGGACAGGCCUGGAAGAAGGAAAAGGGCAGAGAGGAAGACAAAAGGAGGGGAGAAGCAAAGCAAACCUGAGUUGAAAAGGACCAGCACUACUCUGCUGUGAAGAAGAAGGAGGGAGGCCCAGGUCUGAAGACAGGAAGAGGUUUUUGGCAGUAUAGGCAGCAUUUGCAGCGGCAGCUGCAAGUAUUUCAUGGAUUGGAUUUCUCGGAGACAUGGCACUGAGUCACUGAAGAAGAUAACUACAGUAUCUCUGGACUGUGCCAAGGGCUGACAUGUUCUAACCCCAGCUGGCAGAUGGCAAGUCUGUGUUCUGUGAUAUUCCCUGUUAACUGAGCUGACAGCACCUUCUACUUGGUGACACUCACACCACAAAUCAAGAGCUGCAGACUCUCAGAGAAGAGGCACUGACUUACAGAGGACCAAACAGAAAACAUCAUAAGACAACACAGAAAUAUUUCUAGUUUUUUUGCAAAAGAAGUUCUCCGUUAAAUUCUAGAAAAGCCAACACUUUCCCACAGAAAAUAGGGUGGGGCAGGGGGAUUAACCAGGUCCUUGGGAAACCGUUCCUUUGUUUAAAAGAACAUUUGACCAUCUUUACUCAGUUCUUAAAUAUCUCAAGAAAUUUCAGCUGCAGACCACCAUCCAUCCAUCCAUCCAUCCAUCCAUCCAUCCAUCCAUCCAAUAACUUCUCUAAAAAGAUCACAUAAUAAUGCCUCCACCCCCUCCCACCUCCCCCUUUUUGCCCUUAGAAAGCCCAGCAGGACUGUCUGAAUGCAGAAUGUAAUAUCGAAACUACUUCAUAAAAUGUUGACAUGACUUAAUAAAUAUGAAUGCAUUUAAACAUGCUCUGUGCAAAAUACUCAUACUUAAGAAACCAGCCUAAAUAUCACAAAAAUAAAAUAGCAUCUUCACAGCAGAAAUACAUUAUGCAUAACUAGAAACAAAAAAGACAGUUGAAGACCGUUUAUUCCUAGAUGUUGCUCUGUUUCUUC